UCGUAUACACAGAAAAAAAUCUUGAAUUGCUCCCUUUCAAUCGCGUAGUAUUCUUUAAACUAUCAAUAGAUAAACUAUUUUUCUAAACAAACUCUACUAGACUUUUAAAGUAAAUGUUUUUAACGUAAUUGUUCUCACCAACUUUUGGAGUGUUCUUCAUAUGGAUCUCCAAAAAUGACCGAAUCAAUCUUCUCUUCUCUCUUGAUUGUUACUCAAUAUGUCAAGCUCCUCUGAUCGAGAAGAUGAUAUCUGAAAAAUUACUUUGUCACUUAAGAUCAGUUAGUAAAUAAUCAACAUUUUAAUAGAGUUAAAAGAUAAAUUUACAUGCAAAGUACUUCUUUAUUUAUAAUAAUAGAGUUUGUGAAUUAGUGAAAUAGAUGAUUAGCUAGUUGUGAGUUAGUGAGAUAUGCACUUAAUAAGUUAAGUGGUUAUUAUCCCCUAAUAACUCAAAUAAUCGAGUUAUAGGUUCCACCAGUACACUUACGAGUUUUAAUCAUGUUAUUAUAUAUAUAAUUUUUUAUUAAAUCAAAUCAAAUUUAUUUAAUUUAUUUUCCUAAGACAUUCUAUCGAUAUCAUUUCUAAUACAUUUGUCCUAACAUUCUGUCUUUUCAAUUAAAAUUUAUUAAAAAUAGAAAAUUCCUUAAAUAAAAAAUAAAUCCACAUAAAAUUAAUCGAUAUUAAAAAAAUGUAUUUCACGAAUUGUUACUAGAAGAGUCUCAUUAUUGGUGUAAAAACUUAUCUCACCUCACGUCUCAUUAUUUUAUAGCCCCAUUCAAAAUUAUAAAAUUGAUUAAAAAACAAUAAAAUCAAGUAGUGAUGAUUCUCACCGCGAACAAAGUCAAGUCGUGCUUGUGCAACGUGUCUCUCUCGAUGUAAAACCAAGAAAAUUUCUCCUCCAUUCAACUAUUCAAGUAUUAAACCCUCCAUUUCCUCAUUUUCACAUUCGCAUCCAAACACGCCCCAAC
This 965-nucleotide long non-coding RNA is filed under the name Glycine max (soybean). Its description in RNAcentral is "long non-coding RNA (GMAX_LNC001841)". Lineage: Eukaryota; Viridiplantae; Streptophyta; Magnoliopsida; Fabales; Fabaceae. The record is from RNAcentral.